Molecule: long non-coding RNA, 231 nt
Filed under: Hordeum vulgare
Lineage: Eukaryota; Viridiplantae; Streptophyta; Magnoliopsida; Poales; Poaceae
Description: long non-coding RNA (HVUL_LNC017984)
Source: RNAcentral
GAGGAAGCCCGGACGGACCUGGGCGGAGAAUCGGGGGCGGCGGCAGGUGGGGGGGCGAGGGUUUGCGCUGCUGUCUCGCUCGCAAGGGGGAGGGGAGUAGCGGAGACGGGGACGGGAACAGAAGAUGGAGAUGGAGGAGAUGGGUCGCUUUGGCGUCUGGUUCGUCGCGGAUUUGAUUAUUUCUUUCUUUUUUGUGUGUUCCGUGAACUUGUGCGCCUCCUUUUUUUGCGG